GACUAAGAUGCAGAAAAUAGCUUUUGACGCAUGCUGAUCGUCAGUUUCUAUUUGCAGUACCCAUGUCACAAUAUUUCAUUCCGCAGUUAAACUUGCACAGAUCAACAUCGCAUACGAUACUGUCUUCAAAUAUUUCCCCCAAAUCAACACAAACACGAGAACAAAAGACAGCCAUGUCAGACAACAAGACGAAGGAGGUAGCAGAACCUACUGAUGAGGUCGAGAAUCAGGCAGCAGCUGAAGCCACAGUUUCCAGUGAAGACGAACUUGAAAAGGAAGAACCUAAACAGGAAGAACAAGCUGUUGAAGAUGCACGAGAACUAGUCAUUGUUGAUCAGGAUGCCUUUGAUGUCGACUUGAACCACAGCCGUGUUGCUAAGAUAGAAAACUUGGAAAAUUUAACAAGAUGUGAGACCCUGUGUCUCCGUCAGAACCUGGUGAAGAAGAUCGAGGGUUUGAGCACCCUGGUGACACUGCGGGAGCUGGACUUGUACGACAACCAGCUGACCAAGAUUGAGAACCUGGAGGCACUUGUAAACCUGGAACAACUUGAUUUGUCUUUCAACCACAUUCGGACAAUUGAAGGUUUGGAGGGUCUCACAAGAGUGACGAAACUGUUUCUGGUGCAGAACAAGAUACAGACGGUUGAGAACAUCGAGCAUCUGGUCAAUGUGGAGAUGCUGGAACUAGGUGCUAACAGAAUCAGGAAAAUACAGGGUAUUGACAAGCUGACCAGACUGAGCAGCCUGUUCCUUGGGAAGAAUAAAAUCACAACAUUGUCCGGGCUUGACACCCUGGUCAACCUCACUUGUCUCAGUAUACAGGACAACCGCCUAGUGACGAUACAGGGGCUGGAGUGUCUAGUCAACCUCGAGGAGCUGUACAUGAGCCACAAUGGCAUUGAGAAGAUCCAGGGACUUGACAAGAAUUUGAGGUUGACAACUCUGGAUCUUGCAGAAAAUAAAAUUAAGAAGAUUGAAAAUAUUGCACAUCUCACAGAACUUCAAGAAUUUUGGUUCAAUGACAACCAGGUGUCUACCUGGGACAAUGUGGAUGCUCUCAUCCCCCUCAAGAACCUGGAGACAGUCUACCUGGAGAGGAACCCUCUCUGGUACGAUCCGUCCGACAACAAGAAGGUGGACGUCAACUACCGAAGAAAGAUCAAACUGGCGUUGCCCUGGAUUAAGCAGAUAGACGCAACUCUUUCUCGAUGAUGAUCUGUAGUAGUUAGCGAAUUCUCUGUCCAGUUCAUCAAGAGUGCUUGGAGUUUGUAAUUAAGUAAAAUUGACAAAAUACAACACUUUUUAAAAAUGUGUUAUAUUACACAAAUAUCUUUGUUAAUGCUAUGAAAUCCCAUACUUUGUAUUAAUGAAUUCAUGUGCUUUUUCAACGUAUUAAGUGCUGAGGUAGAUACUAGAACCUACUUCUUUAACUAGCCUAAGCUUAUGACUAUGUCUUUACAGUAUGAAAAUAAUAACUUAUGGUAUAAAGGAAAUCUCUAUCUUAUAGGACAGGUUUUCAUGAUAUUCAGGAGGAGCGUCUUAUAGAUAGGCACUUGACAGAUCACAUAGAGAAUAUCUACGUGUGUAACUUUGAUAUCUUUUUAUGUUACUAUUAUAGGGUGUAUAUGUGGAGCUCUGUCCAACAUGUUGUCCUGAGCUUCUCUGUAGUAGAUCUCUGUCCAACAUGUUGUCCUGAGGUUCUCUGUAGUAGAUCUCUGUCCAACAUGUUGUCCUGAGGUUCUCUGUAGUAGAUCCAGGGGUAUAUGUGGAGCUUUGUCCAACAUGUUGUCCUGAGGUUCUCUGUAGUAGAUCCAGGGGUAUAUGUGGAGCUGUGUCCAACAUGUUGUCCUGAGGUUCUCUGUAGUAGAUCCAGGGGUAUAUGUGGAGCUGUGUCCAACAUGUUGUCCUGAGCUUCUCUGUAGUAGAUCCAGGGGUAUAUGUAGACUCUGUCCAACAUGUUGUCCUGAGGUUCUCUGUAGUAGAUCCAGGGGUAUAUGUAGACUCUGUCCAACAUGUUGUCCUGAGGUUCUCUGUAGUAGAUCCAGGGGUAUAUGUAGACUCUGUCCAACAUGUUGUCCUGAGCUUCUCUGUAGUAGAUCCAGGGGUAUAUGUGGAGCUGUGUCCAACAUGUUGUCCUGAGGUUCUCUGUAGUAGAUCCAGGGGUAUAUGUAGACUCUGUCCAACAUGUUGUCCUGAGCUUCUCUGUAGUAGAUCCAGGGGUAUAUGUAGACUCUGUCCAACAUGUUGUCCUGAGCUUCUCUGUAGUAGAUCUCUGUCCAACAUGUUGUCCUGAGGUUCUCUGUAGUAGAUCCAGGGGUAUAUGUGGAGCUGUGUCCAACAUGUUGUCCUGAGGUUCUCUGUAGUAGAUCCAGGGGUAUAUGUAGACUCUGUCCAACAUGUUGUCCUGAGCUUCUCUGUAGUAGAUCCAGGGGUAUAUGUAGACUCUGUCCAACAUGUUGUCCUGAGCUUCUCUGUAGUAGAUCUCUGUCCAACAUGUUGUCCUGAGGUUCUCUGUAGUAGAUCCAGGGGUAUAUGUGGAGCUUUGUCCAACAUGUUGUCCUGAGGUUCUCUGUAGUAGAUCUCUGUCCAACAUGUUGUCCUGAGGUUCUGUAGUAGAUCCAGGGGUAUAUGUGGAGCUGUGUCCAACAUGUCCAUAUCCUUUGAUAGUGAAAAGCGUUAUUUGUACCUAUACUGAUUCAUGUCGACACCAUUCCACUGCAGGAAAACAUGGCUAGAUCUCCUAGGGACAGUUAAUAAUUGUUUGUUAUGUUUUUAGUUUGUUAGUAACUAAACCUUGUCUGACAUUUUGUUUUCGCCCUACUCAGCCUAUGAAAUAUUGAAGGAUAAAAAGCAACAGAGCUGAUAGAUUACUGUAGCUUUGUGUAGACUUUGGAAUAUCAAAUACUGAAGCAAUGUCAUUUUUACUAAAGCCUUUUAUCAACUACAGUUGUUGUUGGUUUGUUAAAUUACCAAAGUUUACAACUGGAUGUCUUACAUUUGCAACAAUAACUUGUGACAAUGUUAAAGCACCUGAUCGGGUGUGCACUGAUUCACUGCUAUUUGUAAUUGCCACAACUGAGGUCAACUGUACUGCAUAUCAUCUUCCUGAGGCAAGGGAAUUAAUUGACUAUAAAAGUCCGGUUUCCAACCUUGCCGAACUAGGCUGGUUUAUAGAGUUAUACUUUGGCUGGACUAACAAGGCUAUGCGUAGUCCAAUCAA
RNAcentral lists this unclassified non-coding RNA (3222 nucleotides) under Haliotis rufescens (red abalone). Its description in RNAcentral is "protein phosphatase 1 regulatory subunit 7-like, transcript variant X17". The record is from RNAcentral. Lineage: Eukaryota; Metazoa; Mollusca; Gastropoda; Lepetellida; Haliotidae.